AUAUCCAAAUUACGGUUGAAGCAAGCGUGUAAGUCAACUACCGGAACUGUGUCGUAGAAACGUCGUCGCAAAAACAUCUGAAAUAUCGAAUUUUGGAAUGGUGUUUCUUCUAAGUAAGAAAAUAUACAUAUAGUAUGGCGACACUCCAUUUCAUGAAUUGUUGCAAGGUGACAAUAAAUACCAAGUUCACCAGGACGGAACCCAAUCCUUGUUACAUCCUGGAGCUGACCCGAGUCUAUUGAACCAGUGUCUCAGGUCAAAUCUACCGAUACAUCAAUAAAGUGAGAAGCCGAAGUACAAUCGUUGUCAGUGGAACACGAUGUGUAUUAAAUUGCCGGAACACAAGAUGCUAUCAAUAGCCGGAUAUAUGAGGUCUUAUUUCUUCAAAUAAUCGUGCGCGCAUAUUUAUUAUGAUUUAUAUCACUGGAUAGCCGGAAUUGAAAUCAAAUUUGCCAAUUAUGUUUCUUAUACUUAAAUAUAAUUAGGCCUAAGCAUUGUUAUAUUAUAGUAGGUGAAUCCCAUUGGGAAUAGGAUUUUUUUUCCUUUAUAGCCUGGCCUUUCUAAGAGUAAAACAGAAUAAAUUUAAAAUUCUUAAAUUAUAUUAGGCCUAUAUAAAACUAGAAUCUUUAUAUUCUAUUUAUAUUACGUUUAUACAGUUUUGAUGUCACAUUUCCGAGUAUGCAAGAAAUAAAAGUAAACUGUAGUGUAAUUUAUAAAA
Anneissia japonica is the source of this 718-nucleotide long non-coding RNA. RefSeq lists it as uncharacterized. NCBI's taxonomy places the organism in Eukaryota, Metazoa, Echinodermata, Crinoidea, Comatulida, Comatulidae. The record is from RefSeq and is a predicted model, not a curated record. The transcript is spliced from 3 exons.